AGUGAACGCUGGCGGUAGGCCUAACACAUGCAAGUCGAACGGCAGCACAGUAAGAGCUUGCUCUUACGGGUGGCGAGUGGCGGACGGGUGAGGAAUACAUCGGAAUCUACUUUUUCGUGGUGGAUAGCGUCGGGAAACUUACGCUAAUACCGCAUACGACCUACGGGUGAAAGCAGGGGAUCUUCGGACCUUGCGCGAUUGAAUGAGCCGAUUUCGGAUUAGCUAGUUGGCGGGGUAAAGGCCCACCAAGGCGACGAUCCGUAGCUGGUCUGAGAGGAUGAACAGCCACACUGGAACUGAGACACGGUCCAGAAUCCUACGGGAGGCAGAAGUGGGGAAUAUUGGACAAUGGGCGCAAGACUGAUCCAGCCAUACCGCGUGGGUGAAGAAGGCCUUCGGGUUGUAAAGCCCUUUUGUUGGGAAAGAAAAGCAGCAGGUUAAUACCCCGCUGUUCUGACGGUACCCAAAGAAUAAGCACCGGCUAACUUCGUG
Molecule: ribosomal RNA, 492 nt
Filed under: uncultured bacterium
Lineage: Bacteria
Description: partial 16S ribosomal RNA
Rfam family: Bacterial small subunit ribosomal RNA
Source: RNAcentral